RNAcentral lists this ribosomal RNA (376 nucleotides) under uncultured bacterium. Its description in RNAcentral is "bacterial SSU rRNA". It matches the Rfam family "Bacterial small subunit ribosomal RNA", at positions 524 to 898 of the family's 1533-position model. The record is from RNAcentral.
GACAGAGGUCUCGAGCGUUAGGCGGAAUCACUGGGCUUAAAGCGUGUGUAGGCGGACUGGUAAGUACUUUGUGAAAUCCCCCGGCUCAACCGGGGAACUGCUUGGUAUACUGCCGGUCUUGAGCCACUUAGGGGCAGCUGGAACAAACGGUGGAGCGGUGAAAUGCGUAGAUAUCGUUUGGAACGCCAAAGGUGAAAACAGGCUGCUGGGAGUGUGCUGACGCUGAGACACGAAAGCCAGGGGAGCAAACGGGAUUAGAUACCCCGGUAGUCCUGGCCGUAAACGAUGUCCACUAGAUCAUGGCAGCUCUGACGUUGUCAUGGUCGAAGCAAAAGUGCUAAGUGGACCGCCUGGGAAGUACGGUCGCAAGGCUAAA